This 324-nucleotide ribosomal RNA is filed under the name Allapsidae sp. RNAcentral's name for it is "SSU rRNA". The stretch from base 56 to 324 matches the Rfam family "Eukaryotic small subunit ribosomal RNA", at positions 685 to 955 of the family's 1831-position model. The record is from RNAcentral. Lineage: Eukaryota; Cercozoa; Glissomonadida; Viridiraptoridae.
GAUUUCUGGUUUGAUGUACCUGUCCGGCUACGGUAACGUAUGUCAGUGACGGAGUAUGUCUGCCAUCCUUCUAGAGAACAUAAGCUAUCCUUUACUGGACCGGUUCAUGUGAUCUAGAUCUUUUACUUUGAAAAAAUUAGAGUGUUUAAAGCAGGCGUUUGCUCUGAAUACAUUAGCAUGGAAUAAUAAUCUAGGACUUCGGUUCUAUUUUGUUGGUUUCUAUAACUGAAGUAAUGAUUGAUAGGGAUAGUUGGGGGUGCUAGUAUUGGCCGGUCAGAGGUGAAAUUCUUGGAUUCGGUCAAGACUAACUUAUGCGAAAGCAUU